UCAGGAUGAACGCUAGCGGUGCGCCUAACACAUGCAAGUCGAGCGGUAGUUAUUAGCUUGCUAAUGAUGAGAGCGGCGAACGGGUGAGUAACACGUUGGAAUCUGCCCCCAUGCCAGGGAUAGCCAUUGGAAACGAUGAUUAAUACCGGAUGUGCUCUACGGAGUAAAGAUUUAUCACAUGGGGAGGAUCCUGCGAACUAUCAGCUAGUUGGUAAGAUAAAAGCUUACCAAGGCAAUGACGGUUAGUUGGUCUGAGAGGAUGACCAGCCACAAUGGAACUGAGACACGGUCCAUACUCCUACGGGAGGCAGCAGUGAGGAAUCUUCCACAAUGGACGCAAGUCUGAUGGAGCGACACCGCGUGAAGGAAGAAUGCCUAACGGUUGUAAACUUCUUUUCUGAGGGAGCAAAAUGAGAGUACCUCAGGAAUAAGGGGCGGCAAAUCACGUGCCAGCAGCCGCGGUAAUACGUGAGCCCCAAGCGUUAUCCGGAAUUACUGGGUGUAAAGGGUUCGUAGGUGGCAAAGUAAGUUAGGUAUUAAAGGCCGAGGCUCAACCUCGUGUAUGUGCUUAAAACUGCUUAGCUAGAAUCAGGGAGAGGUAAGCGGAAUUCUAAGAGUAGGGGUGCAAUCCGUAGAUACUUAGAAGAACACCAAAAGCGAAGGCAGCUUACUGGAACUGUAUUGACGCUGAGGAACGAAAGCGUGGGUAGCGAAAAGGAUUAGAUACCCUUGUAGUCCACGCCGUAAACGAUGAUAACUAAGUGUUGCAUGUAGGUGCAGUGCUGAAGCUAACGCAUUAAGUUAUCCACCUGAGGAGUACGGUCGCAAGAUUAAAACUCAAAGGAAUAGACGGGGACCCACACAAGCAGUGGAUCAUGUGGUUUAAUUCGACAAUAAACGGGGAAUCUUACCUAGACUUGACAUCGUAGAGAUUCUGGGGAAACCUAGAAGUGCUCGCAAGAGAAUCUGCAGACAGGUGCUGCAUGGUUGUCGUCAGCUCGUGCCUUGAGGUGUUCGGUUAAGUCCGUUAACGAGCGCAACCCAUAUCAUUAGUUAAAUAUGUCUAAUGAGACUGCCUUGGUUAACAAGGAGGAAGGUGUGGAUGACGUCAAAUCAGCAUGGCUUUUACGUCUAGGGCCACACACAUGAUACAAUGGUGCAUACAAAGAGUAGCGAGACAGUAAUGUGGAGCAAAUCUCAAAAGUGCAUCUCAGUCCGGAUUGAGGUCUGAAACUCGACCUCAUGAAGUUGGAAUUGCUAGUAAUCGUGAAUCAGAUAUGUCGCGGUGAAUGUGUUCCUGGGUCUU
RNAcentral lists this ribosomal RNA (1306 nucleotides) under uncultured bacterium. RNAcentral's name for it is "bacterial SSU rRNA". It matches the Rfam family "Bacterial small subunit ribosomal RNA", at positions 24 to 1382 of the family's 1533-position model. The record is from RNAcentral.